GAUGAACGCUGGCGGCGUGCCUAAUACAUGCAAGUCGAACGAACGGACGAGAAGCUUGCUUCUCUGAUGUUAGCGGCGGACGGGUGAGUAACACGUGGAUAACCUACCUAUAAGACUGGGAUAACUUCGGGAAACCGGAGCUAAUACCGGAUAAUAUUUUGAACCGCAUGGUUCAAAAGUGAAAGACGGUCUUGCUGUCACUUAUAGAUGGAUCCGCGCUGCAUUAGCUAGUUGGUAAGGUAACGGCUUACCAAGGCAACGAUGCAUAACCGACCUGAGAGGGUGAUCGGCCACACUGGAACGGAGACACGGUCCAGACUCCUACGGGAGGCAGCAGUAGGGAAUCUUCCGCAAUGGGCGAAAGCCUGACGGAGCAACGCCGCGUGAGUGAUGAAGGUCUUCGGAUCGUAAAACUCUGUUAUUAGGGAAGAACAUAUGUGUAAGUAACUGUGCACAUCUUGACGGUACCUAAUCAGAAAGCCACGGCUAACUACGUG
RNAcentral lists this ribosomal RNA (497 nucleotides) under uncultured bacterium. RNAcentral describes it as "partial 16S ribosomal RNA". It matches the Rfam family "Bacterial small subunit ribosomal RNA", at positions 28 to 507 of the family's 1533-position model. The record is from RNAcentral.